UCAAUAGAACCGAACACAAGAUGUUAUGUAGCAAUUCGAACAUUCAAACAAAUUGUCCAAGGAUGAAGCAUUACAAAACAUUGAGAACCAAUAAAUCAAGACAUCAUACCAUAUGCAAAAUAAAUCAUGUGUUAAAUCAUGCAUUAAAAUAUUAAGAACAAGCAUGUCAAGGAUCCAAAUCAAUAUUUCUCAAAUAAACUCCCCCUAUUUAAAUAUAAUCUUGCAAUGAUUUUAUCCUUAAAUUGUG
This 247-nucleotide long non-coding RNA is filed under the name Phoenix dactylifera (date palm). RNAcentral's name for it is "long non-coding RNA (PDAC_LNC012943)". Lineage: Eukaryota; Viridiplantae; Streptophyta; Magnoliopsida; Arecales; Arecaceae. The record is from RNAcentral.